UACAGGCCAUUGAGUGACAGGUG
This 23-nucleotide non-coding RNA is filed under the name Mus musculus (house mouse). The record is from RNAcentral. Lineage: Eukaryota; Metazoa; Chordata; Mammalia; Rodentia; Muridae.